Molecule: non-coding RNA, 113 nt
Organism: Acanthosepion pharaonis
Lineage: Eukaryota; Metazoa; Mollusca; Cephalopoda; Sepiida; Sepiidae
Source: the annotation of a GenBank genome assembly
CUUGCGGCCAUAUCACUUUGAAGCAUUGGAUCCCGCCUGAUCACCAAAGUUAAGCAGCGCCGAGCCUGGUCAGUAACUAGAAGGGUGGCCGCUUGGGAUUACCAGGUACAGUA